CAACUUAUGAUUAUCUUCUAAUAUUUUUUAUAAUAAAUUUCUUGAUUUUUUUUCAAAGUUCCUUAUGAUUGAGCACUUUCUUGAUUACAGAAGCCAAAGUCAGCUCAAGACUCACCCCCACAAUCUAGGUCUUAGAGGAUCGGGUCCACAUUUCUUGAUUUGGAGGACCUAACUGAGAAUGGGUUUUAAGAAAGAAAUCAAGAAAAUAUGAAUCAGGGUCGGUUCUUAAUUCAGGCAGCUGAACUGAAAAAGACGAGGGAAAUUAUGGGUUUUAGCUGAGAAGUGAUAAAACCAGGGAGAAUCAUGGGUUUCAACACUAAAUUCGUUCCUAAGUCAUGAAAUAGAUUCUUAGGAAAAUCGAGGCUUCCAACAGGACAGUCGACAGGCAGCGUUAUAGUUCUCAUGGAUUCUUUAUUGUUUACGAUUUGGCUGCCAUCGCGGAACGAAAUCUCUCUCUCUCUCUCUCUCUCUCUCUCUCCCACUUUUCU
This 488-nucleotide long non-coding RNA is filed under the name Spirodela polyrhiza (greater duckweed). RNAcentral's name for it is "long non-coding RNA (SPOL_LNC002344)". Lineage: Eukaryota; Viridiplantae; Streptophyta; Magnoliopsida; Alismatales; Araceae. The record is from RNAcentral.